GUGAGGAAUUUUGGACAAUGGGGGCAACCCUGAUCCAGCGACGCCGCGUGAAGGAUGAAGGUUUUCGAAUUGUAAACUUCUUUUAGAGGGGAAGAAAUGCCCGCAAGGGAGUUGACAGUACCCUCAGAAAAAGCCACGGCUAACUACGUGCCAGCAGCCGCGGUAAUACGUAGGUGGCGAGCGUUACUCGGAAUUACUAGGCGUAAAGCGCGUGUAGAUGGUUUGAUAAGUCGGACGUGAAAGCUCCCGGCUUAACUGGGAGAGGUCGUUCGAUACUAUCUGGCUUGAAUAUGGGAGGGGAAUCUGGAAUUCCUGGUGUAGCGGUGAAAUGCGUAGAUAUCAGGAGGAAUACCUAUGGCGAAGGCAGGAUUCUGGCCCAUUAUUGACAUUGAGACGCGACAGCUAGGGGAGCAAACAGGAUUAGAUACCCCUGUAGUCC
RNAcentral lists this ribosomal RNA (439 nucleotides) under uncultured bacterium. RNAcentral describes it as "bacterial SSU rRNA". It matches the Rfam family "Bacterial small subunit ribosomal RNA", at positions 354 to 796 of the family's 1533-position model. The record is from RNAcentral.